AGAGUUUGAUCCUGGCUCAGGAUGAACGCUAGCGGCAGGCCUAAUACAUGCAAGUCGAACGGGUUGUUGCAGCAAUGCAACGAUCAGUGGCGCACGGGUGCGUAACGCGUAUGCAACCUACCUUAAACUGGGGGAUAGCCUGGGGAAACCCAGAUUAAUNCCGCAUAAGAUCACGAGAGGGCAUCUGAUUGUGAUUAAAGAUUUAUUGGUUUAAGAUGGGCAUGCGUGCCACUAGCUAGUUGGUAGUGUAACGGACUACCAAGGCUACGAUGGCUAGGGGUUCUGAGAGGAUGAUCCCCCACACUGGCACUGAGAUACGGGCCAGACUCCUACGGGAGGCAGCAGUAGGGAAUAUUGGGCAAUGGACGCAAGUCUGACCCAGCCAUGCCGCGUGCAGGAUGAAGGCCUUCUGGGUUGUAAACUGCUUUUAUCUGGGAAGAAAACACCUAUGCGUAGGAAACUGACGGUACCAGAUUAAUAAGCACCGGCUAACUCCGUGCCAGCAGCCGCGGUAAUACGGAGGGUGCAAGCGUUGUCCGGAUUUAUUGGGUUUAAAGGGUGCGUAGGCGGCCCGUUAAGUCAGUGGUGAAAGCCUCCAGCUCAACUGGAGAACUGCCAUUGAUACUGACGGGCUUGAGUACAGACGAGGUUGGCGGAAUUGAUUGUGUAGCGGUGAAAUGCAUAGAUACAAUCAAGAACUCCGAUUGCGUAGGCAGCUAACUAGGCUGUAACUGACGCUGAGGCACGAAAGCGUGGGGAGCGAACAGGAUUAGAUACCCUGGUAGUCCACGCCGUAAACGAUGAUUACUCGAUGUUGGGCGAUACACAGUCAGCGUCUUAGCGAAAGCGUUAAGUAAUCCACCUGGGGAGUACGCCCGCAAGGGUGAAACUCAAAGGAAUUGACGG
Molecule: ribosomal RNA, 906 nt
Filed under: uncultured soil bacterium
Lineage: Bacteria
Description: bacterial SSU rRNA
Rfam family: Bacterial small subunit ribosomal RNA
Source: RNAcentral